UCAAUUGUAAACAUUGCCUGGUUCC
This 25-nucleotide non-coding RNA is filed under the name Mus musculus (house mouse). Lineage: Eukaryota; Metazoa; Chordata; Mammalia; Rodentia; Muridae. The record is from RNAcentral.